ACUCGAGUAGGGCCCAAGCAAGCCAGGAAGGAGGAGGCAGCCAGAGUGUUCUCUGCAGCAGAAGACCUCUUGCUGCCCUGCUUAACCCAGACCAGCAUUUGCCAGAUGUCAUAAAUGAAUCGAAGAUGACUGACAUAAAAGGCAAAAAGGGAUGAAAAUUGAGAGGAUGAAACUGAACUCUAGGAGUGUAUAAUAUACCAAUAAGCUGGGCUGGUUCCUGCAAGCGUGUAAGUUGUGAAAGGGGUAAUAAAGAAUCAGAGCAUGCCCUCCUCAACCUUUUCAGGGGCUACUGAAAGACCUGUGAGCUCUGAAGAAAAGGCAGAAGAGGCAGUCAGCCAGGAAGCUUAUACCAUUGGCUCCUAUAGACACCUCCACUGGACUGAGAGGAUUGCUGGGGCAGCUUCUUCCACACCUGUCCAGGGACUAUUCAGAGACCUGUGAGGCAUAAGAGCUAUAUAGGCCCAUCAGUUCCAACAGAGACCAGUCCUGGGCUGGGAGACUCUUGCAGCAAUCCAGGGGCUCUUUGAAAUCCUGCCUGCUUUGAGGGGAGGCAAGAAGGGAGAAGCCCACGCCAGUUAUUUUUCUUCAGAUCCUGGAAAGAUUAUCAAUGGCCUGAAACAUUAUUUUUAAAAAUCCUUUGUAAUGGGGUUGUUUUAAUAGUGUAACCCACCUUGGGUGCCUUAGUCAAGGCAGAAAGGCACAACAUACAUGUAAUAAAUAGUGACCCACAAGAAGACUAAGGAAGCAGCAGUGCAACAAAUGGGGUGCCACAGUUUUGUAUCUGUUAUGUAACCACAAGCACAAUACUAGUUUCAAACACAAGCUCCAGACUUAAUACAACUAGCUAUAGGGGUAUGUGAGCCGGCUCGCAUUAAGCCGGGCUCAACAUCGAGCCAGCCCAGCUUGGGCGGUCCAAGUUUGAACUGGGUCACCCCUCAGUUCAAAGAACCGGCUCAUGGGCCAGCUUGGGGGGCUAGGAUUCCUCUUUACAGGUAAAGGAGGGUUUUCUGUAGAAUAAGAAGGGGUGGUGGUGAAAGGGGAAUAUUUACCUUUAGUUUUCUGCAUCAGUGACUGCGGUGGCAGUGGCAUCAGAGGUGAACUAAGAGGUGGCAGUGGGGCUCCUCCAACCUCCCUGCCUGCCUCCCAAAUGACAGGUCAGGCCGGCUGCAGAAAUCUCAAGGUGCUGUGAAGCAUUUAUUGAAGCCACAUGAGGCUUUCUUCAGGGGCAGUGCUAAAAUGACAUUUUAAAAAGCAAUUAAACUACUUCAUUAAAAUUACAUUUGAAACAAGAUAAAAAUGAAACCAGCAGUAACAUCUAUCAUACUCAUGGCAACUUACAUUUAUAGUAUUCCAAUGCAAACUCCAAGUAGUCCUUUGCCUGCUUCCAAGUUUAUAACAUUGCCAACUGGAGAAGCAAAUUUAUACUGUUGGCAAUAAACCCAGCUCUAAUUCAUUAACUCUAAACCAAACUAAACAUAAAAAAAUUAAUAAUUUAAUAAGGCAACAAAAUUACUAUUACAAUUCUUAUAAACCAAAAUAAGUCAAAUGAAGACCCAUAUAGAUUCCAAAUCUUAUGUACUAAAACCCCGCAAAUUUCCCAAAGAAACAUCUCAGUCCUUUAAAUAGUAAGAUGAUCCUAAAAUCCUGGAUCUUUUCUCUUAAUUUCACUAGAUGUCCUCAAAUCCGAUUCCCAAAUGUCCUUCGCAAAUAGGGUAGAAGAUGGAAUGGAAUCACAAAUAAUAAUAAUUUGUAUUUGUGAUUUUGAUUUUAAUAAUAACAUUUUAAUUAUAAUAUUAUAAAAAUUAAUAGAAUAAAAUAAAUAAAUAUUUUUUUAAAUAACAAUUAAUUUUUGAUAACAACAGCAACAACAACUAGCUGGGCUGAGCGGAGCAUCUGCACCUCUAGUUCUUGUCCCAUCAUUCUCAGCCCUCCCUACUCCAAUGUUUUGUUUUCAUUAGCCAGCUGCCUGGCCAACUGCUUUUUUCGGCCGCCAGCCAUCCCCUCCACUGCUUUCUUCCCCCACCAGCACUGCCACUUUCUUCACCCACCAGCCACUGCUUUCUUCACCCCCUGCCACCACCACCAUCACUCCCCCCCCCACUAUCCACAGCAUGGCUUUCUUCACCCCCACUGCCACCUUCUCGCUUCCCCCAGCGCUGCGCUCUUGCCUGUCUGUCUAUUUCUGCCCAUUUGCUUCCCCCACCCCAUCCACAGCAGCUCGUUCACAAACCUUUGCAAGAUCUGCCAUGCAUGGGAAUAGCAUCGGGCAUGUUUAAUAUAUAUUAAUAGGAAUGCAUAUAUAAAAUACCAAACAUCGUAUCACAUCUUUACCAGAUACCAUAAAAUCCAGUUCUCAGAUGAAAUGCAUGUCCUUUGCAAGUGGAAUGCACAGUAUAUGAACCUGUUUCAAGUCUGUUGCUAAAAAGAGUAGGAUGAACAACUGCAAGCAAACAAAGAUACAUAUGGAAGACAAUAUUGGACAUAGACAGUUGAUGUAGUUGGAAUGCCACUGAGGAGGACUUAUUGUCGAAACACGUCUGGCAUUUUAAAUAUUUAUUCUCAUGAAGAUUUUUAAAUGAGAUUACAUUUGGAACUCCAAAUGGAAGUGCCAAAUGGAAUCCAGUUAAUCUGAGAACUGGACUUUACGAUAUCUGAUGGAACUGUGAUUCAACAGUUGGUAUAUUAUAUAUGUAUUCCCAUACAUUGUGUGUGUGUGUGUGUGUGUGAUUCCAUUUUACAAACCACUUGGGAAAAAUAUUUAUUUCAUCUGAGAACUGAAUUUUAUCAUAUUUAGUGGAGAUGUGAUUUGGCACCUUGUGAAGAAUUUCUCUCUUGAAUAUUUAUUCUAAGAUUUUAUCUAAUACCCUCUUUGGGAAGGACAUUUGGGAAUCAGAUUUGAGUACAUCUAGUGAAAUUGAGAGGAAAGAUCCAGGAUUUUAGUGUCAUCUUAUUAUUUAAUGGACUGAGAUGUUUCUUCAGGAAAUUUGGGAUCUUUUAGUAUAAGGGAUUUGGAAUCCAUAUGGGUCUUCAUUUGACUUAUUUUGGUUUAUAAGAAUUUUAAUAGUAAUUUUAUUGCCUAGAUACUAUUCAAUGUUUACAUCAUAGUUUAUAUAUUUAAUGAGUUGUGUUGUGUAUUUUAAUAAUUUUUAGGGUUCUUUGGUAGGGAUGUGCACGGAACCGUGGCGGGGAGGCUUGAAGGUGGCGGGGGUGCAGCUUUAAGACCAAGGGAGGGUGCACUUACCCCUCCCACCGCUUUCUCCCCGCUGGUGUUCAUUUUUUGAAAAGCCUAUGAGGGUGGAAGUCUACCUCCCUGCUGCCCCGUUGCCCCCAUUUUCAGAUAUGACUGGAAGUCCCCUAUGUGCCCGCAAGCAUGUGAGUCCCCUAUGUGCCCGCACGCAUGUGAGGCGUGCGCAAGUGCGUCGGGGACUUCUGGUCAUAUCCAGAAAAUGGAGGCAACGGGAUGGCAGGGAGGUACACUGCUGCCCCAAUGGGCUUUUAAAAAAAUGAAUGCCAGCGAGGAAAAAGCAAUGGGAGUGGUAAGUGCACCCUCCCCCACUCUUAAAGCUCGACACCCCCCACCAUUGAACCGGCAGAACUGCCAGUUCUUUGAACCAGUUUGGAGGCCCACAAAGAGUUUCCCAACCAGCUCAUCCCUAUUGUUUCAUUUGAUUGUUGUCAUUGAGUGUUGUAUUCAUUAACUCUAAAAACAUCAGCUUAGAAGAAAAUCACACCCUUUAUUUAAGUGUAAGCACACAAUCAAACUCCUCAUUUAACCCCUGUGGAGCCAAAAUGUUCAAUUCCAAAAUCCACCAUGCUUAGCAUUCCCAACAGUCCUGUAUUAUAUGGAAAGUCCCAUAUGUGAGGCAAAAAUCUCUUGUCCUGUCCAGGACACUGUUUCCCCCUUUAUUAUUGGCAGACCCUGGGGCUCUUCCUUAUCCCUCAAUGCAUUUGUUUGUUUGUUUGUUUGAUUGAUUGUUUGAUUGAUUUAUAUACUGCCCUUUCAAAAAUGGCCCAGAAAGGGCCAUUUGCAUUGAGCACUUUGAAGUCUGGGUGAACUCCAUAUUAUAAUGUGAAAGAAACAAGAAAGUUCACAAAAGAAUCCCCAAUUGUUCUGCAAACUUGCAGGAGCAACUGAAUGGGUUUAUUUACAUUCUGCAAGUUGCUAACCAUUUACGUAUCUAAUGAAAUAGAUCCACAGACUCCUGCUAACUGACUCACCACUUCUGGCAGAUGAAGUGGUGCACUUCUCACCAGCCUUUCAGUGAGGCUUUCAGUAACAGCCAUGGCAAGAUGGAGUGGGGAUGUAGGGUGUGUGUGUGUGUGUGUGUAAACCUGGGGGAUUGUCUUAAUUUUUCACCUGACACUUGCUCCAUGUCUAAGUGGGAUGGUCUUUGUGAACAAGAAGCUUUGUGGAAUCAUGGAGCUUGUGCUGUUUUGUUGUGGUUUUCACAAAUGCAUUGCCACUCAGAGGUCUGAUUACCCCUGGGAUGACUCCACCCCCAAGACACCCCCCCCCAACGUGUCAGGCAAUGUUGGCAACCCUAACUAUGGUUCUCUUUUGAGUAGAACUUUAUGAUUUCCAUGUAUAAUGUUUUCAAUUGCCCAAAACUGUACAGCCCAAAAGGAAUGUUUUUCCUCUCCAAAAAAUGAGCUACCAAAGGGGCACCCAUUUUUCCACAUUUCACAGUACUCAGAUGUUCAACAAGAUGUUUUUUCAGUGGUCCAGAUGGCUUACCGACAUACAUUAUCUUACAAUGAAAAUGACAAUUGCAUAUAUCACUGUAUAGGAAACCUACAGAUACCAUCACUUACCUGAGGUCUGACAGUUCUUAUUCUAGGUUCUUAAUUCUCAUUCUCAUUCUAAGUUUUCCCUCAGGGAAAACAUACAAUUGGGGCAAUUUUUGGGAAUUAAAUUUUAAUUGCUCCACUGAACAAUUAUUCAUAUGUGAAUCUAGAGUGGCCAAACAACAGUUUUUGGAGAGGUUAUCCUGAGUUGUGGAGAAUAAUUCGAGAAAAGCUACAGGCGUUCCAAAGGAGGAACUUCUGCAGACAACUGAGCUUUUCCAGUUAUAAAUGUUGUAAGUUUGUGAGAAGGCAAAGGACUAUCUGUUAGAGUUCUCUUUGGAAUAUUAUAAAUGUAUGCCAUGAGUAUAAUAGAUGUUACUGGUGGUUUCAUUUUUGUCUUGUUUCAAAUGUAUUUUUAAUGAAGUGGUUUAAUUGCAUUUUCGAAUGUCAUUUUAGUACUGCCUUUAAAGAAAGCAUCAUGUGGCUGAAACGCAUUGGGCUCCAAUAAAUGUUUCACAGCACCUUGAGAUUUUGUCUUUUGUUUUGCUUUUCGGUUGGGUGCUUCCUUUUUUUCUCCAUUUGCUUAAGUGUAGAUAAGCAUGCUGACUUUUGUGUGUUGGUGAGCUCAGUAAGAGCUAUAAGAAAAAUACCACUAGUUAUGUUUACGGAACUGGACAGGUCUGGUGCUGUGCAGAUGGUUUCUUAGAUGUCUCUUGAGGAUAAAAAUCUGGGAGUCCCUUGAAUUCCAUAUGCAGACUGAUUGUUUUUUUUUAAUUGUAGAAAUGUCUUGCAAUACACCCAUUCUCCUUUUGUCUCUUUCUCUCACCAUAUAAUCAAAACAUGCACUGAUAUUAUCUCUCAGAAAUUAUCUUUAAAAAUAUGUUAUUAGUGUGGGGGCAAACCUCAAAUUGGUGUCUAGCCUUCGAGGCCAAAAGCAUUUAUGUUUGCUUCGAGGCCCAGAAUGGAAAGGUCUGGUAUUUUUUUGGUGACUGCUGAAAAAGAGGGAUUUUGCUUCUGGCAGAACAUAAAGCAAAGCUGACAACAAUGCUUUUCUUUCAUGCUAUCCAAAUGAACCCAUUUAUAAUCUGAAAUUCAAAUACUUGACAACAGAGAGUCUGUGAGCUAGGCUUUGAACAGGAAAUUGCUUCAUGGUUUUAGCAUAAUGAAUUAGGCAGUAAGAGUAAAUCCAUUUAGUAGGCAUAGAAUGUUUUAAUAUUCCUUGGAAAAAUUCUGAAUAUCCAAAUUUGUCAUUGCUUACAAAAUCUUGAAUGUUUGGUGCAGUGUGUGUGUGUGCACACACAUGGCACACCAUUGAUUUCCCUUCUACAUAUAGCUGGGUUAUUGCAUUUGCAAAUUGUUGUGCUUAUUUAGAAAUUAUUGUCCCUUUUAAAUGUCAGGGUAAAUAAAUGCCACAAAUAAUGACAA
Hemicordylus capensis (graceful crag lizard) is the source of this 6210-nucleotide long non-coding RNA. RefSeq lists it as uncharacterized. NCBI's taxonomy places the organism in Eukaryota, Metazoa, Chordata, Lepidosauria, Squamata, Cordylidae. The record is from RefSeq and is a predicted model, not a curated record. The transcript is spliced from 2 exons.